GUGAGGAAUAUUGGUCAAUGGGCGGGAGCCUGAACCAGCCAAGUCGCGUGAAGGAAGAAGGAUCUAUGGUUCGUAAACUUCUUUUGCAGGGGAAUAAAGUGCAGGACGUGUCCUGUUUUGUAUGUACCCUGAGAAUAAGGAUCGGCUAACUCCGUGCCAGCAGCCGCGGUAAUACGGAGGAUCCGAGCGUUAUCCGGAUUUAUUGGGUUUAAAGGGUGCGUAGGUGGUUUGAUAAGUCAGCGGUGAAAGUUUGCAGCUUAACUGUAAAAAUGCCGUUGAAACUGUCGGACUCGAGUGUAAAUGAGGUAGGCGGAAUGCGUGGUGUAGCGGUGAAAUGCAUAGAUAUCACGCAGAACUCCGAUUGCGAAGGCAGCUUACUAAGCUACAACUGACACUGAAGCACGAAAGCGUGGGGAUCAAACAGGAUUAGAAACCCCUUAGUCC
Molecule: ribosomal RNA, 444 nt
Filed under: uncultured bacterium
Lineage: Bacteria
Description: partial 16S ribosomal RNA
Rfam family: Bacterial small subunit ribosomal RNA
Source: RNAcentral